UGGGGAAUUUUGGACAAUGGGCGCAAGCCUGAUCCAGCCAUGCCGCGUGCGGGAAGAAGGCCUUCGGGUUGUAAACCGCUUUUGUCAGGGAAGAAAUCUUCUGAGUUAAUACCUCGGGAGGAUGACGGUACCUGAAGAAUAAGCACCGGCUAACUACGUGCCAGCAGCCGCGGUAAUACGUAGGGUGCAAGCGUUAAUCGGAAUUACUGGGCGUAAAGCGUGCGCAGGCGGUUUUGUAAGACAGAGGUGAAAUCCCCGGGCUCAACCUGGGAACUGCCUUUGUGACUGCAAGGCUUGAGUGCGGCAGAGGGGGAUGGAAUUCCGCGUGUAGCAGUGAAAUGCGUAGAUAUGCGGAGGAACACCGAUGGCGAAGGCAAUCCCCUGGGCCUGCACUGACGCUCAUGCACGAAAGCGUGGGGAGCAAACAGGAUUAGAUACCCUGGUAGUCCACGCCCUAAACGAUGUCAACUGGUUGUUGGGAAGGUUCCUUCUCAGUAACGUAGCUAACGCGUGAAGUUGACCGCCUGGGGAGUACGGCCGCAAGGUUGAAACUUAAAGGAAUUGACGGGGUCAUAGCUGUUU
RNAcentral lists this ribosomal RNA (582 nucleotides) under uncultured bacterium. RNAcentral describes it as "partial 16S ribosomal RNA". It matches the Rfam family "Bacterial small subunit ribosomal RNA", at positions 355 to 935 of the family's 1533-position model. The record is from RNAcentral.